RNAcentral lists this ribosomal RNA (301 nucleotides) under uncultured bacterium. RNAcentral's name for it is "partial 16S ribosomal RNA". It matches the Rfam family "Bacterial small subunit ribosomal RNA", at positions 509 to 807 of the family's 1533-position model. The record is from RNAcentral.
CAGCAGCCGCGGGAAUACGUAGGUGGCAAGCGUUGUCCGGAAUUAUUGGGCGUAAAGGGCUCGCAGGCGGCUUCUUAAGUCUGAUGUGAAAGCCCCCGGCUCAACCGGGGAGGGUCAUUGGAAACUGGGAAACUUGAGUGCAGAAGAGGAGAGUGGAAUUCCACGUGUAGCGGUGAAAUGCGUAGAGAUGUGGAGGAACACCAGUGGCGAAGGCGACUCUCUGGUCUGUAACUGACGCUGAGGAGCGAAAGCGUGGGGAGCGAACAGGAUUAGAUACCCGCGUAGUCCCUGUCUCUUAUAC